This 516-nucleotide ribosomal RNA is filed under the name Sporocytophaga sp. 25B. RNAcentral describes it as "partial 16S ribosomal RNA". It matches the Rfam family "Bacterial small subunit ribosomal RNA", at positions 1 to 522 of the family's 1533-position model. The record is from RNAcentral. Lineage: Bacteria; Pseudomonadati; Bacteroidota; Cytophagia; Cytophagales; Cytophagaceae.
UGGAGAGUUUGAUCCUGGCUCAGGAUGAACGCUAGCGGCAGGCUUAACACAUGCAAGUCGAGGGGUAUGCCGAUUUAUCGGCAGAGACCGGCGCACGGGUGCGUAACGCGUAUGCAAUCUACCUUUUACAGAGGGAUAGCCCAGAGAAAUUUGGAUUAAUACCUCAUAGUAUARYRMMWYSGCAUSRWKRWRYUAUUAAAGUCACAACGGUAAAAGAUGAGCAUGCGUCCCAUUAGCUAGUUGGUAAGGUAACGGCUUACCAAGGCUACGAUGGGUAGGGGUCCUGAGAGGGAGAUCCCCCACACUGGUACUGAGACACGGACCAGACUCCUACGGGAGGCAGCAGUGAGGAAUAUUGGACAAUGGGCGCAAGCCUGAUCCAGCCAUGCCGCGUGCAGGAUGACGGUCCUAUGGAUUGUAAACUGCUUUUGUACGAGAAGAAACACCCCUUCGUGAAGGGACUUGACGGUAUCGUAAGAAUAAGGAUCGGCUAACUCCGUGCCAGCAGCCGCGGUA